Equus asinus (donkey) is the source of this 1556-nucleotide long non-coding RNA. Lineage: Eukaryota; Metazoa; Chordata; Mammalia; Perissodactyla; Equidae. The record is from Ensembl.
GACCCCUUUCUAUGGGGACCCCAUAGGCUGGUCUGUUCCCGUGUGUCAAGAGCUGAUGACACACCUCUGCCAGCAGUUUUACAUUUGGAAGGGAAGUGCUUAGAAGAAAUGAAUCUAUAAUGGUACAGUUUGGUGGUCCCUGUGUAAACAGUAUCUUCAUAGCUCUCAGAGGAGGAGCCGUCCGAUGGUGGCCCGUGUGUGACAGUCCGUGUAGCACAUACAUUCGAGGAAGAACCUUAUGUAAGAAAAACCUGAUUUUGUCCUCAGGGUUUUUCUGGGCUCCUUCCAGAAAUGUUCUCCUGCCUCUGAAAGUCCAAAGUGGGUGACCAAGACCCAUUCCCCAUAGGAAUCAUCUCCAACAAAUUCUGAGAGAAAUGGGAAAUUUCGAGGAAAAAGAGAGAGAGAGAGUAAAGGGGAUUUUUUUCUUUUAAUUUUUAGUCUACUUAGGAAAGCGUGUGCCUGGGCACCGACCGUGUCCCUGGUGAUGUCCUUUCGUAAGCCAGGUGUGUUUGGAGGCAUCCUCCUGGCCUUUCCGUCUCAGCCAGGCAUGACUCAGAGCAGAUGACUCACCCGUGGCAAAGUGACCGACGAGCUGGGGGAAAAAUGAGAAUUAGAAACAGCAGAACAAAGGGAAAAUGCCAGAGUAAAUGAGCUUGGAGGGCUGCUGUUCAGCUGACAUCCUUGAAUUAGGGGUUUGGGGGUGAAGCCAGGAAGCUAAGAUACAAAAAUAGGGCCCCCUAAAAGGGGAGAAAGCCUCGUGAGAGGAGAAAACCAAAUUGUGAGUUAGUAGUAAAUAUCAAGAAUGAAGCGAAAGAAUCAAAUGAGAUCAAACCCGUGACAAACCUGAGCCACCCCCUCUCCCAGUUUUUGAACUUAAUUUGUGUGAUGCGGCAAAGGAGACAGGAGAGCGGGUCUGCGCCCCGUCAUUCUUAGGAUCCCGAGGCUCGAUUUGGAUAAUGAAAUAGGGCUUCAUUUAUCUGCUGUUGUGGAGGAAAGGAAGAUUCCACGUAAUUGAAAUUUCAAUGCGAGUAGAAUUAACGAGACUCAUCUGUCCUGUGGGAAGGAAGUAGCGUCUCUGACUUCAUCUCCUGACCUCUUCUAAAUAACCCCGCCAGGCGACAGGAGUGGCCAAAAGCCAAGGGGUCCCAUGAGGCGGACGCCUCCUGCUUGGUGGUCCUGCUUCUGUCCUUUCCCGCGUGCCAGUCCUCUUGCCACGCAGCCGCGACGGUGCAGCAUCUUUGCGAAGUGUUCUAGAGGGACUCGGUGGUCAGUGCCGUUCGGAGCCUGUUUUCAUCAGAGCAUCUUGACGCACAAGGUUCCCUGUGCCCAACGAUGUAAACCGUCUCAUGGAGGAACGUAUGUAUUGUCAGAGGUCUGUUGUGAUCACUCUCGAUGGGACUCACUUUUGGGGUACAGUGAUGCCAGAGAGAGAAGGGUUUUCGAUCAGAAGCAGUUAACCGGAUGAGAUUCUUCGGUGUUGUUGCUGCUUGGAGUUCAUACAGAUCAGGGACUUUCAACUGGGGGCAGCGUCUAGGGACGUUUGUGGUUGUCACGGC